RNAcentral lists this microRNA precursor (114 nucleotides) under Medicago truncatula (barrel medic). RNAcentral describes it as "MIR5284 microRNA precursor family". It matches the Rfam family "MIR5284 microRNA precursor family". The record is from Rfam by way of RNAcentral. Lineage: Eukaryota; Viridiplantae; Streptophyta; Magnoliopsida; Fabales; Fabaceae.
AUGUAAUUUUAGAUUCCUCCACUUUAAUUAGUCCCUCAUUUUUCAUGCCAUGUAUGCAGAUUCGGCUGACAUGGUGGAAUGAGGGACCAAAAGUGGAAGAAUAUGAAAUUACAG